Molecule: ribosomal RNA, 276 nt
Filed under: Staphylococcus aureus
Lineage: Bacteria; Bacillati; Bacillota; Bacilli; Caryophanales; Staphylococcaceae
Description: partial 23S ribosomal RNA
Rfam family: Bacterial large subunit ribosomal RNA
Source: RNAcentral
GAUAUGUGAAUACAUAGCAUAUCAGAAGGCACACCCGGAGAACUGAAACAUCUUAGUACCCGGAGGAAGAGAAAGAAAAUUCGAUUCCCUUAGUAGCGGCGAGCGAAACGGGAAGAGCCCAAACCAACAAGCUUGCUUGUUGGGGUUGUAGGACACUCUAUACGGAGUUACAAAGGACGACAUUAGACGAAUCAUCUGGAAAGAUGAAUCAAAGAAGGUAAUAAUCCUGUAGUCGAAAAUGUUGUCUCUCUUGAGUGGAUCCUGAGUACGACGGAG